AUCCUGCGGGGGGCAGCAGUGGGGAAUGUUAGACAAUGGGGGGAACCCUGAUCUAGCCAUGCCGCGUGAGUGAUGAAGGCCUUAGGGUUGUAAAGCUCUUUCAGUGGGGAAGAUAAUGACGGUACCCACAGAAGAAGCCCCGGCUAACUCCGUGCCAGCAGCCGCGGUAAUACGGAGGGGGCUAGCGUUAUUCGGAAUUACUGGGCGUAAAGCGCACGUAGGCGGAUCAGAAAGUCAGAGGUGAAAUCCCAGGGCUCAACCCUGGAACUGCCUUUGAAACUUCUGGUCUUGAGGUCGAGAGAGGUGAGUGGAAUUCCGAGUGUAGAGGUGAAAUUCGUAGAUAUUCGGAGGAACACCAGUGGCGAAGGCGGCUCACUGGCUCGAUACUGACGCUGAGGUGCGAAAGCGUGGGUAGCAAACAGGAUUAGAUACCCUGGUAGUCCACGCUGUAAACGGUGAGUGCUCGUCGUCGUGGGUAUUGACCCCUGCGGUGACCAAGUUAACACAUGAAGCACUCCGC
RNAcentral lists this ribosomal RNA (520 nucleotides) under uncultured bacterium. RNAcentral describes it as "bacterial SSU rRNA". It matches the Rfam family "Bacterial small subunit ribosomal RNA", at positions 335 to 872 of the family's 1533-position model. The record is from RNAcentral.